This 323-nucleotide long non-coding RNA is filed under the name Rattus norvegicus (Norway rat). Its description in RNAcentral is "long non-coding RNA NONRATT018923". Lineage: Eukaryota; Metazoa; Chordata; Mammalia; Rodentia; Muridae. The record is from RNAcentral.
AGAAGACAUAUCCACCUCACCUGAUGAACUUAGGCAAGCAUCUGAGGACUGCCAACCAAACAUGGAAAAGCUCACCUGUACAGGUCACCCUGGUCUCGCCUUUAGUGUAACUGAUUCCAGGAAGAUAAUUGAAUGGAUCAAGCUGAAAUACAUAAAAUUAAGGAGUACAGAAGCCAGGAAGACCAGAAGAGGGUGGUGGAUCCCACGAAGCUGAAGAGGCUCUGAGUCGUCUAAUCCGAAGGGAAGAAACGAGUUCUGAAGAAAACUGCAGACAAGCUUAGAACCAGAUCCGACCUGUUCAUUAAAAGUCAAUGUGAGAGUGA